RNAcentral lists this ribosomal RNA (468 nucleotides) under uncultured bacterium. RNAcentral's name for it is "partial 16S ribosomal RNA". It matches the Rfam family "Bacterial small subunit ribosomal RNA", at positions 28 to 507 of the family's 1533-position model. The record is from RNAcentral.
GACGAACGCUGGCGGCGUGCUUAACACAUGCAAGUCGAACGGAAAGGCCAUGCUUUUGUUGGGUGCUCGAGUGGCGAACGGGUGAGUAACACGUGAGUAACCUGCCCUUGACUUUGGGAUAACUUCAGGAAACUGGGGCUAAUACCGGAUAGGAGCUCCUGCUGCAUGGUGUGGGUUGGAAAGUUUCGGCGGUUGGGGAUGGACUAGCGGCUUAUCCGCUUGUUGGUGGGGUAGUGGCUUACCAGGGCUUUGAGGGGUAGCCGGCCUGAGAGGGGGGACGGGGACAUGGGGCCUGAGAGAGGGCCCAGAAGCGUACGGGAGGCAGCAGGGGGGAAUAUUGCACAAUGGGCGCAAGUCUGAGGCAGAAACGCCGCGAGCGGGAUGACGGCUUUCGGGUUGUAAACCGAUUUCGCCUGUGACGAAGCGUGAUUGACGGUAAUGGGUAAAGAAGCACCGGCUAACUACGUG